ACCGGCGCCGACAGCUGCGCCAACGGCGAGUAGAGCUCGCGAAGACGCCACAGCUCCACACCGCUCGCGCUCAGAGCGAGCACCGGCCAGCCGGGGCCGGCGGGCGCCAGCAGACGGUUCACGUGCCUGGGUGGCACCGCUCGGCCCCAGCCGCUCAGCGCCACCUCGCCCACCUGUGCUGACGCCUGCAGGUCCCAUGUCCCGGCGCACGUCUACGAGAGCCCAGCUGUGCAGAUCAAAGGUGCAGGUGGCCUGCGCCAUCCAGCACCACGAAGUGUCUGCCCACUGGGUCCUGCGCCACUGAGAGCAGCCCAGACGCCACCGUCAGGUGGCCCAGCGGCUCCAGGCCGUGUGUCAAGCGGGCCACGCUCAGCUCGGCUCUCUUUUCCUGCGGGCCAGGGUCGAGGUCCUGGAUCAGGCUGUCACCUUCUACUGAAAAGGGGUUGCUGGCAUCUGACACUCCAGUCUCCAUUGCGACGCCUGCAGGCCGCUCAACAGCACCCAGGGCCGUUGCUAGGAUACCGGAGGCAGUAGGCCCCGCCUCUGACGCAGACCCCGCCCCACACGCAGCGCAGAGCCUAAGUCCCCACAAAAUCACAGAAAUUUUUUAUUGGAAACAAACCAGCUGCAGCAAAGUGACACUCAGUGCACGCUGCCCAAUGGGCAAGGUAGGGGGGAGGGUGGGACAGGUGGGCGUCAGGGGCUGGCCAAGAUCAGGGGGGUGCCGCAGGGGCCUGCUUACUGGGUCUCUGGGCCCUUUGGACUGGAGUGUGCAGGCCCAGGCCUGAUCCGGCACAAAAUACAAAAAUAAACUCUGUAGUCCAGCU
Molecule: long non-coding RNA, 827 nt
Organism: Suricata suricatta (meerkat)
Lineage: Eukaryota; Metazoa; Chordata; Mammalia; Carnivora; Herpestidae
Exons: 4
Source: RefSeq, a predicted model, not a curated record